This 944-nucleotide non-coding RNA is filed under the name Oreolalax major (common lazy toad). RNAcentral describes it as "12S ribosomal RNA". The stretch from base 97 to 944 matches the Rfam family "Bacterial small subunit ribosomal RNA". The record is from RNAcentral. Lineage: Eukaryota; Metazoa; Chordata; Amphibia; Anura; Megophryidae.
CAAAGAUCUGGUCCUGGUCUUACCAUCAGUUCUAACUAAACUUACACAUGCAAGCCUCUUCGCCCCAGUGAAAAUACCCUUUAUCAUCCCAUUUAGAGGAAAAGGAGUUGGUAUCAGGCUCAAACAGCCCAAAACACCAAGUUAAGCCACACCCCCAAGGGAAUUCAGCAGUGACGAUGUAGAAUGAUUAAACCUCUAGAGGAACCUAGAUUACCUAGUUAUAGUUAAGAUAGUCGGUCAAUUUCGUGCCAGCCACCGCGGUUAUACGAGAGACUUAAACUGAUAGUCAUCGGCGUAAAGCGUGAUUAAGGACCCGUAUCACUAAAGUUAAACUCUGACCCAGCUGUUAUACGCCCCCGUCUACGAGAAACCCAAUAACGAAAGUAACUUUACCACCUCCUGAAUUCACGGUAGCCGGGGCACAAACUGGGAUUAGAUACCCCACUAUGCCCGGCCUCAAACUUUGAUUAAUUACAAUUUUAUUCGCCAGGGAACUACGAGCGUCAGCUUAAAACCCAAAGGACUUGGCGGUGCCCUACACCUCCUAGAGGAGCCUGUUCUAUAAUCGAUGAUCCACGAUACACCUCACCGUUUCUUGCCAAAACCGCCUAUAUACCGCCGUCUCCAACUUACCCUAUGAAGGAUUUACAGUAAGUUCAAAGAUCACUCAUCAGAACGUCAGGUCAAGGUGUAGCGAAUGAAACGGGAAGAAAUGGGCUACAUUUUCUAUUUUAGAUCACACGGACAGUCAGUAUGAAACCUGAUUAUGAAGGAGGAUUUAGCAGUAAAAAGAAAUCAGCAAGUUCUUUUUAAGUCGGACCUAGGGCGCGUACACACCGCCCGUCACCCUCUUCAACUCAUUUCACCCUAUUUAUAAUAAAAUAAUUGGAGAUAAGAAGAGGCAAGUCGUAACAUGGUAAGUAUACCGGAAGGUGUACUUGGAA